Molecule: unclassified non-coding RNA, 272 nt
Filed under: Hevea brasiliensis (rubber tree)
Lineage: Eukaryota; Viridiplantae; Streptophyta; Magnoliopsida; Malpighiales; Euphorbiaceae
Source: RNAcentral
AUAAAUAGAAAUUUAAAAAUUCAAAUAGUAAAAUAAAAUACCUAAAUUAAAAUUGAAAGAUAAUUGAAAAAGAAAAAAAAGGAGUGGCAUGUCAAAAAAUUUUAAGAUAUAUAAUGUAAAAAUUAAAAAGAAAGUUUUUAUUUUUAACAAUAAAAUAAAAAAUUAAAAAUAAAAACACCAAAAAUAGAGAACCACAACAUGAUAAGAUGAUCAAUAUCCUUAGAACAGUGAAUUUCAUUUUAUUAAAAUAAAAUUAUUUUAAUGAAAAUAAU